AAUCUGCAUGGCUGAUGCACUGCUCCACAAACUGGUCUGAGCUGCUGGACCCACGGAAGCUGCAAAGGGAAAUGACCAUGUCGACCAGGAUGAUACAACAGAGAAAACUCUCAAGAAAAGCUUAAGAAGUUGAACCAAAGAGGAGUAGUAGAGACAGAAGAUCCCGAAAGAAAA
Non-coding RNA from Momordica charantia (bitter melon), 174 nucleotides. NCBI's taxonomy places the organism in Eukaryota, Viridiplantae, Streptophyta, Magnoliopsida, Cucurbitales, Cucurbitaceae. The record is from RefSeq and is a predicted model, not a curated record.